This 492-nucleotide ribosomal RNA is filed under the name uncultured bacterium. RNAcentral describes it as "partial 16S ribosomal RNA". It matches the Rfam family "Bacterial small subunit ribosomal RNA", at positions 29 to 507 of the family's 1533-position model. The record is from RNAcentral.
AGUGAACGCUGGCGGUAGGCCUAACACAUGCAAGUCGAACGGCAGCACAGUAAGAGCUUGCUCUUACGGGCGUCGCGUGGCGGACGGGUGCGGAAUACAUCGGAAUCUACUUUUUCGUGGGGGAUAAUGCCGGGAAACUUCCGCUAAUAAAGCAUACGACCUACGGGUGAAAGCAGGCGUUCUUCGGACUUUGCGCGAUUGAAUGAGCCUAUGUCGGAUUAGCUAGUUGGCGGGGUAAAGGCACACCAAGGCGACGAUCCGAAGCUGGUCUGAGAGGGUGAUCAGACACACUGGAACUGAGACUCGGUCCAGACACCGACGGGGGGCAACAGUGGGGAAUAUUGGACGAUGGACGCGUGCCUGAUCUUGUCAUACCGCGUAAGGGAAGAACGACUACUGGUGGGUGAGCGAUUAUGGUGUGAGAGAAAAACAGCAGUUUUAUACCCCACUGUACUGACAGUACCCAAAGAAUAAGCACCGGCUAACUUCGUG